UACGAAGGGGGCUAGCGUUGCUCGGAAUUACUGGGCGUAAAGCGCACGUAGGCGGCUUCUUAAGUCGGUGGUGAAUCCUGGAGCUCAACUCCAGAACUGCCUUCGAUACUGGGAGCUCGAGUCCGGGAGAGGUGAGUGGAACUGCGAGUGUAGAGGUGAAAUUCGUAGAUAUUCGCAAGAACACCAGUGGCGAAGGCGGCUCACUGGCCCGGUACUGACGCUGAGGUGCGAAAGCGUGGGGAG
Molecule: ribosomal RNA, 243 nt
Filed under: uncultured bacterium
Lineage: Bacteria
Description: partial 16S ribosomal RNA
Rfam family: Bacterial small subunit ribosomal RNA
Source: RNAcentral